CGGGACGUGGCUCAGCCCGGUAGAGCACACCCUUGGGGUGGGUGGGGUCGAGAGUUCAAAUCUCUCCGUCCCGA
This 74-nucleotide transfer RNA is filed under the name Omnitrophica bacterium RIFCSPHIGHO2_02_FULL_45_28. Its description in RNAcentral is "tRNA-Pro". It matches the Rfam family "tRNA". From Rfam's summary of the family: Transfer RNA (tRNA) molecules are approximately 80 nucleotides in length. RNAcentral also lists the same sequence under 3 other names. The record is from RNAcentral. Lineage: Bacteria; Pseudomonadati; Candidatus Omnitrophota.